AUGUGGUCGCAAUCAAAAGCACUUUUCGGUAACCAAACCAACAAGAGAGAAAAAUACACCUACACAGUCCCAGGUGCAGCCGAACCGGGGAGAAGGCUGAAGGGUGUGGGGUGUUGGCCUCUGCCCCCACCAUCGUGCGGAGGGCUCACUCAGACCGGCGGCUCAGCCCGUCCAUCGUGGGGGCACCGCUGCCUGAUGUCGCCAAGUAAUUCACUAAUCAACUCCACAUGAGGUGAUAAAUCUUUCCAGCAACAAUCCACCAUCACCCCAGUCGUGAAAAGAAGACCAGAAGCACCACCCUUUCAUCAUCUCCAGGAGCUGACGGACACCGCGAGCUCACUGCCAACAGAGCAGUGCAGGACUUCGGUGCCACUUCCCGAAAAUGGAAGAGGGAGAGCUGUCGCAGGUGGGGUGGGAUGAUCUUGGCUGCAGCCAGAGUCUGUGAUCCAGGCCAUAAAUAUGUCCACAGACUCCUCCGAUUCAUCAGCGUGUGUGUGUGUGUGUGUGCAUGCGUGCAACCUUUUAAAGAGAUUAGGAACAUAUUCCAGUGUUAGGUGUCCAUACUGGAGAUUUUAUUCCUGCUUUUCUGGGUAGGAAAAUUGAGAGUUGUGCUCUUAGCUUUCAUCAUCUAAGUACAGAAACUUUCCUGUAGAAAUAAUCACUAGAAUAAUUAGUUUAAUGCUUUUUUCUCUCCUUUCUCACUUUUACCAAAUAUCAGUUAGGGCUGGGAUGAAUUUUCCCUUCCAACAAAUACCCAUCAAAUGCGUUUUCUCCAGCCGUCUCAGGUAGCAACAUCCAUCCAUCAGCACACUUAGUGAACGCCAUAGAUAAUUUGAGUAAUUAUUCCAUGAUCUGUCCGCAUUUUCAGUUUGUGAUUGUAAACUGCUAUCUGAGCAGGAAAGGACAUGUAGUAUCGAGAGAUCCCGGCUGGGAAUUAAAGAAGACUUUUCCAAUGUACCAGACCAGAAAGGGAGUAACAGAGUCUAUGCUCUUUCAUUGCAUGUGUUCAGCCAUCAAAUUGUCACCAUCUAGCAAGCUCAAAGGCAUAUAUUUCUACCCUGAAGAAUUCUAAACAUGUAUGUCUUGCUCACAAUUUCUUCUGAACUUCAGAACCAUGACCAAUCACAUAUGCAUAUGUAAAUUAACUUGCACAAAACCUACCGAUGAUCUUGUUCCUCAUGUCCUCCAUUCUGGUCUUCUCAAUAUUUUUUAAGGUUUAUUUAUUUAUUUG
Molecule: long non-coding RNA, 1231 nt
Filed under: Oryctolagus cuniculus (rabbit)
Lineage: Eukaryota; Metazoa; Chordata; Mammalia; Lagomorpha; Leporidae
Description: lncRNA (ENSOCUG00000032104.1)
Source: RNAcentral